RNAcentral lists this ribosomal RNA (442 nucleotides) under uncultured bacterium. RNAcentral describes it as "bacterial SSU rRNA". It matches the Rfam family "Bacterial small subunit ribosomal RNA", at positions 355 to 796 of the family's 1533-position model. The record is from RNAcentral.
UGGGGAAUCUUGCGCAAUGGUCGAAAGACUGACGCAGCGACGCCGCGUGUGGGAGGACGCCUUUCGGGGUGUAAACCACUGUUGCCCGGGACGAACAGCCUCUUUCGAGAGGACUGACGGUACCGGGUGAGGAAGCACCGGCUAACUCCGUGCCAGCAGCCGCGGUAAUACGGAGGGUGCGAGCGUUGUCCGGAAUCAUUGGGCGUAAAGGGCGCGUAGGUGGCCCGGUCAGUUCGUGGUGAAAGCGCGGGGCUCAACCCUGCGUCGGCCAUGAAUACUGCCGCGGCUGGAGCACUGUAGAGGCAGGCGGAAUUCCGGGUGUAGCGGUGGAAUGCGUAGAGAUCCGGAAGAACACCGGUGGCGAAGGCGGCCUGCUGGGCAGUUGCUGACACUGAGGCGCGACAGCGUGGGGAGCAAACAGGAUUAGAUACCCCCGUAGUCC